This 693-nucleotide ribosomal RNA is filed under the name uncultured Fusobacterium sp. RNAcentral's name for it is "bacterial SSU rRNA". It matches the Rfam family "Bacterial small subunit ribosomal RNA", at positions 33 to 739 of the family's 1533-position model. Lineage: Bacteria; Fusobacteriati; Fusobacteriota; Fusobacteriia; Fusobacteriales; Fusobacteriaceae. The record is from RNAcentral.
ACGCUGACAGAAUGCUUAACACAUGCAAGUCAACUUGAAUUUGGGUUUUUAACUUAGAUUUGGGUGGCGGACGGGUGAGUAACGCGUAAAGAACUUGCCUCACAGCUAGGGACAACAUUUAGAAAUGAAUGCUAAUACCUGAUAUUAUGAUUUUAAGGCAUCUUAGAAUUAUGAAAGCUAUAAGCACUGUGAGAGAGCUUUGCGUCCCAUUAGCUAGUUGGAGAGGUAACAGCUCACCAAGGCGAUGAUGGGUAGCCGGCCUGAGAGGGUGAACGGCCACAAGGGGACUGAGACACGGCCCUUACUCCUACGGGAGGCAGCAGUGGGGAAUAUUGGACAAUGGACCGAGAGUCUGAUCCAGCAAUUCUGUGUGCACGAUGAAGUUUUUCGGAAUGUAAAGUGCUUUCAGUUGGGAAGAAAAAAAUGACGGUGCCAACAGAAGAAGUGACGGCUAAAUACGUGCCAGCAGCCGCGGUAAUACGUAUGUCACGAGCGUUAUCCGGAUUUAUUGGGCGUAAAGCGCGUCUAGGUGGUUAUGUAAGUCUGAUGUGAAAAUGCAGGGCUCAACUCUGUAUUGCGUUGGAAACUGUAUAACUAGAGUACUGGAGAGGUAAGCGGAACUACAAGUGUAGAGGUGAAAUUCGUAGAUAUUUGUAGGAAUGCCGAUGGGGAAGCCAGCUUACUGGACAGAUA